RNAcentral lists this ribosomal RNA (254 nucleotides) under uncultured bacterium. RNAcentral describes it as "partial 16S ribosomal RNA". It matches the Rfam family "Bacterial small subunit ribosomal RNA", at positions 524 to 776 of the family's 1533-position model. The record is from RNAcentral.
CACGUAGGGGGCAAGCGUUGUCCGGAUUUAUUGGGCGUAAAGAGCUCGUAGGCGGUUCGGUAAGUCGGGUGUGAAACCUCCAGGCUCAACCUGGAGAGGCCACCUGAUACUGCUGUGACUCGAGUCCGGUAGGGGAGCGUGGAAUUCCUGGUGUAGCGGUGAAAUGCGCAGAUAUCAGGAGGAACACCAGCGGCGAAGGCGGCGCUCUGGGCCGGAACUGACGCUGAGGAGCGAAAGCGUGAGUAGCAAACAGG